ACGACGCUGGCGCGUGCCUAACACAUGCAAGUCAAGGAGAAUUCCCGACUUGUCGGGAUAGUAAACUGGCGAACGGGUGGGUAACACGUAGGUAAUCUACCUCGGGAUCGGGAUAACCUCGCGAAAUGGGGAUAAUACCGAAUAAAGUCUCGGUAUAAUUUGUCGAGAUGAAAGAUGGGGAUCUUCGGACCUAUUACCUGAGGAUGAGCCUGCGCCUGAUUAGCUAGUUGGUAGGGUAAAUGCCUACCAAGGCAACGAUCAGUAGCUGGUCUGAGAGGAUGAUCAGCCACAUUGGGACUGAGAUACGGCCCAGACUCCUACGGGAGGCAGCAGUGAGGAAUUUUGCGCAAUGGGCGAAAGCCUGACGCAGCAACGCCGCGUGACUGAUUAAGCUCUGAGGAGUGUAAAAGUCUGUCGUAGAGGAAGAAACUAUCCGAUAAGAAUAUUGUCGGAUACUGACGGUACUCUAUGAGAAAGCUCCGGCUAACUCCGUG
RNAcentral lists this ribosomal RNA (494 nucleotides) under uncultured bacterium. RNAcentral describes it as "bacterial SSU rRNA". It matches the Rfam family "Bacterial small subunit ribosomal RNA", at positions 32 to 507 of the family's 1533-position model. The record is from RNAcentral.